Molecule: ribosomal RNA, 486 nt
Filed under: uncultured bacterium
Lineage: Bacteria
Description: partial 16S ribosomal RNA
Rfam family: Bacterial small subunit ribosomal RNA
Source: RNAcentral
AUUGAACGCUGGCGGCAUGCCUUACACAUGCAAGUCGAACGGCAGCACGGGUGCUUGCACCUGGUGGCGAGUGGCGAACGGGUGAGUAAUACAUCGGAACAUGUCCUGUAGUGGGGGAUAGCCCGGCGAGAGCCGGAUUAAUACCGCAUACGAUCUACGGAUGAAAGCGGGGGACCUUCGGGCCUCGCGCUAUAGGGUUGGCCGAUGGCUGAUUAGCUAGUUGGUGGGGUAAAGGCCUACCAAGGCGACGAUCAGUAGCUGGUCUGAGAGGACGACCAGCCACACUGGGACUGAGACACGGCCCAGACUCCUACGGGAGGCAGCAGUGGGGAAUUUUGGACAAUGGGCGAAAGCCUGAUCCAGCAAUGCCGCGUGUGUGAAGAAGGCCUUCGGGUUGUAAAGCACUUUUGUCCGGAAAGAAAUCCUUGGCUCUAAUACAGUCGGGGGAUGACGGUACCGGAAGAAUAAGCACCGGCUAACUACGUG